AAUAGAAUACUUAAAACAGGUGCUAAGUGUUUUGUACUUAGCUUAAUAGGGAAGUUGGUAAAAAGCCAACGCGGUCCCGCCACUGUAAAUGUGAGCAACCUAUAAAAAGUCACUGUCAAAUGACGGGAAGACAUAGGAAGCAAUGAGCAUGAGCCAGGAAACCUGCCUGUUUUUGACACCAACA
This 184-nucleotide non-coding RNA is filed under the name Bacillus sp. (in: firmicutes). RNAcentral also lists the same sequence under 1 other name. Lineage: Bacteria; Bacillati; Bacillota; Bacilli; Caryophanales; Bacillaceae. The record is from RNAcentral.